This 697-nucleotide long non-coding RNA is filed under the name Brachypodium distachyon (stiff brome). RNAcentral describes it as "long non-coding RNA (BDIS_LNC005837)". The record is from RNAcentral. Lineage: Eukaryota; Viridiplantae; Streptophyta; Magnoliopsida; Poales; Poaceae.
CUCCAUGUCAGCCCCAAGAAGUAUAUUGGUUGGCUGUCAUAACAUGUACGGAUUUUGAUUACUUGAAUUUGCAGAUUUACUUGAGUCUUUCAUAUAAUGCAACCAACCUUGAUGUCUCGAUGAACAAUGCAGCCUUCAGGGUAUCUGUGAAGGAACCAAAGACCACAAGCACUGCCAAGUGCAAUCUGAAGUCUCCGAUUCCAUGUCAGGUUCUUGUCCUUCCCUGCAAUCAAAAUGUUACUUUUAGUCAUAACAUUACAUGUUUAGCACAUCCUGCCAUUUCCUCAAAUAGGUACUUACCAAAUAGCCAUUCAGAUAGGUUACCAUUGAUGCAUAACUCAUACACAAGAAAGCACUCAUCCUGCCCGUCACAGUAACCUCUUAACGACACAAGAUUUGGAUGCCUGACAUGAGAGAGGCUUGUGACUUCCCUUAGGAAGGUUUCUGCAUGCUCAUUCUUAAUUAUGUGUUUCACUGCAACAGGCCAGCCAUUUGCAAGCAUUCCUCUGUACACUUUCCCUGGAAAUCACAUUAGGAAGAGGGUGCAUCCAACUCUUAGAGAAGCAAUAACCUACUGAAUGCGAUUAUUACCUUCUACUUCUCAGUUCUUACAUCAGAGUUAUGCUCUCUGUGAUUUUAUUUCAUUCAUGAAUAGAUAUUCUGAUUCUGAACUGUCUGGUAUUGUCAUAUACCUGCA